GCCUCCGUGGCGCAAUUAGCUAGCGCGUUCGGCUGUUAACCGAAAGGUUGCAGGUUCGAGCCUUCCCGGGGGCG
RNAcentral lists this transfer RNA (74 nucleotides) under Rhipicephalus microplus (southern cattle tick). Its description in RNAcentral is "tRNA-Asn". It matches the Rfam family "tRNA". From Rfam's summary of the family: Transfer RNA (tRNA) molecules are approximately 80 nucleotides in length. Their secondary structure includes four short double-helical elements and three loops (D, anti-codon, and T loops). Lineage: Eukaryota; Metazoa; Arthropoda; Arachnida; Ixodida; Ixodidae. The record is from Rfam by way of RNAcentral.